AAGACCUUGCGCUUUUGGAGCGGCCGAUGCCUGAUUAGCUAGUUGGUGGGGUAAAAGCCUACCAAGGCGACGACGGGUAGGGGACCUGAGAGGGUGACCCCCCACACUGGGACUGAGACACGGCCCAGACUCCUACGGGAGGCAGCAGUGGGGAAUUUUGGACAAUGGGCGCAAGCCUGAUCCAGCCAUGCCGCGUGAGUGAAGAAGGCCUUCGGGUUGUAGAGCUCUUUCAGCCGGGAAGAAAAGGUUGCGACUAAUAAUCGCAAUCCAUGACGGUACCGAAAGAAGAAGCACCGGCUAACUACGUGCCAGCAGCCGCGGUAAUACGUAGGGUGCGAGCGUUAAUCGGAAUUACUGGGCGUAAAGCGUGCGCAGGUGGUUUUGUAAGUCAGAUGUGAAAGCCCCGGGCUCAACCUGGGAACU
This 423-nucleotide ribosomal RNA is filed under the name uncultured bacterium. Its description in RNAcentral is "bacterial SSU rRNA". It matches the Rfam family "Bacterial small subunit ribosomal RNA", at positions 207 to 622 of the family's 1533-position model. The record is from RNAcentral.